Molecule: ribosomal RNA, 473 nt
Filed under: uncultured bacterium
Lineage: Bacteria
Description: bacterial SSU rRNA
Rfam family: Bacterial small subunit ribosomal RNA
Source: RNAcentral
UCCUACGGGAGGCAGCAGUGGGGAAUUUUGGACAAUGGGGGCAACCCUGAUCCAGCCAUUCCGCGUGAGUGAAGAAGGCCUUCGGGUUGUAAAACUCUUUCAGCAGGAACGAAACGGUGAGCUCUAACAUAGCUUGCUAAUGACGGUACCUGAAGAAGAAGCACCGGCUAACUACGUGCCAGCAGCCGCGGUAAUACGUAGGGUGCGAGCGUUAAUCGGAAUUACUGGGCGUAAAGCGUGCGCAGGCGGUUUUGUAAGACAGAUGUGAAAUCCCUGGGCUUAACCUAGGAACUGCGUUUGUGACUGCAAGACUUGAGUGUGGCAGAGGGGGGUGGAAUUCCACGUGUAGCAGUGAAAUGCGUAGAGAUGUGGAGGAACACCGAUGGCGAAGGCAGCCCCCUGGGUUAACACUGACGCUCAUGCACGAAAGCGUGGGUAGCAAACAGGAUUAGAUACCCGGGUAGUCCAAGCCG